Molecule: long non-coding RNA, 999 nt
Organism: Lates calcarifer (barramundi perch)
Lineage: Eukaryota; Metazoa; Chordata; Actinopteri; Centropomidae
Exons: 4
Source: RefSeq, a predicted model, not a curated record
GCGCUCUCUGUUGUUGACUUCCAUGACGUAUUACAUGAGGCUGUUUCUGUAGCAGCUGUACUGAGUCUUAACAGUUGGUUUACAAAUUAAACUAACGGGCUCAAAACACUGAGCAGCAACGCGGUAUGGUAACAUGUUGUUGAAGUUGUUUGUCUUUGGAGGGUAUGUCGCCGCCUUCACGGUACCAGGAUGGUGUUGUCGAGCGAAGGAGUACCCCACACGUGACGGACAGUGCUGCCCAAAGUGCCACGAAGCUGCUCAGAAACCCAAGUAAAGGUCAAAGAAGGAGGCCUGACUAAUGAUGUUGUCUGCAGUAGUGCAUGGAGAAAUCAUUACUUUAUGUUUCUACCUCUUAUUUGUUUUUUGUCAGUAACAGUUGUUGGGCUUGUGACUAGAGGCAGGAGAAUAACAGCUGGUAAGGUAUAACCUCUCCAUUUGUUUCUUAUAAAUGCUCAGUUCAUAGUUAAUUUGAGAACUGACAGAGAAGUUCUUCUUCUUCUUCUAAUAAUCCUGUGACAACACCACUUUACACAGCUUCUCUCUCAAAGCUGCUGCUCUGCAAUUUUUGCCACAUAGUGUUGCCUCAACUUGAAAACUGCUUACUAUUAAAAAUAUGAGGCUGGUUGUCAGAGCAUUCUCUGUUAGGCUCACAGAGCUAUCUGGCAGGUAGCUGUGGUCCAACAGCACACUGGUGACAGUCUUAGAUGGAGAUGUUGUGAGUCCUCAGCUGGAACCACAGCUGACAGAGACGCAGUUUUAUCCUGUGUUUCCUGGAGAGAUUUUUCACCAAAGUUUAAAGGGAAGCUUUGUCUUUUAAUAGGAUUAAAAGGACGUUUUUCCUCUCCACUGUGGCCUAGUGCUGCUCAUGGUGGGAACUGUUGGGUCUCUCUCUGUAAAUAUUUUAAAGAGUAUGGUCUAGACCUGCUCUGUAUGAAAAGUGCCUUGAGAUGACCUUUGUUGUGAUUCAGUGCUAUAUAAAUAAAACUGAACUGAAUUGAA